RNAcentral lists this ribosomal RNA (474 nucleotides) under uncultured bacterium. RNAcentral describes it as "bacterial SSU rRNA". It matches the Rfam family "Bacterial small subunit ribosomal RNA", at positions 335 to 801 of the family's 1533-position model. The record is from RNAcentral.
ACUCCUACGGGAGGCAGCAGUAGGGAAUCUUCCACAAUGGGCGCAAGCCUGAUGGAGCAACACCGCGUGAGUGAAGAAGGGUCUCGGCUCGUAAAGCUCUGUUGUUAAAGAAGAACACGUAUGAGAGUAACUGUUCAUACGUUGACGGUAUUUAACCAGAAAGUCACGGCUAACUACGUGCCAGCAGCCGCGGUAAUACGUAGGUGGCAAGCGUUAUCCGGAUUUAUUGGGGCGUAAAGAGAGUGCAGGCGGUUUUCUAAGUCUGAUGUGAAAGCCUUCGGCUUAACCGGAGAAGUGCAUCGGAAACUGGAUAACUUGAGUGCAGAAGAGGGUAGUGGAACUCCAUGUGUAGAGGUGGAAUGCGUAGAUAUAUGGAAGAACACCAGUGGCGAAGGCGGCUACCUGGUCUGCAACUGACGCUGAGACUCGAAAGCAUGGGUAGCGAACAGGAUUAGAUACCCUGGUAGGAUAGCG